RNAcentral lists this ribosomal RNA (253 nucleotides) under uncultured bacterium. RNAcentral describes it as "partial 16S ribosomal RNA". It matches the Rfam family "Bacterial small subunit ribosomal RNA", at positions 524 to 776 of the family's 1533-position model. The record is from RNAcentral.
UACGGAGGGUGCAAGCGUUAAUCGGAAUGACUGGGCGUAAAGGGCGUGUAGGCGGUUUACACAGUCAGAUGUGAAAUCCCCGGGCUUAACCUGGGAGCUGCAUUUGAUACGUGUAGACUAGAGUGUGAGAGAGGGUUGUGGAAUUCCCAGUGUAGAGGUGAAAUUCGUAGAUAUUGGGAAGAACACCGGUGGCGAAGGCGGCAACCUGGCUCAUUACUGACGCUGAGGCGCGAAAGCGUGGGGAGCAAACAGG